CCCUUAGAUGUUCUGGGCCGCACGCGCGCUACUCUGACGAUGGCAACGAGUUUUUCCUUCGCCGAAAGGUGUGGGUAAUCUUUUGAAACAUCGUCGUGCUGGGGAUAGAUCAUUGCAAUUUUUGAUCUUGAACGAGGAAUUCCUAGUAAGCGCGAGUCAUCAGCUCGCGUUGAUUACGUCCCUGCCCUUUGUACACACCGCCCGUCGCUACUACCGAUUGGAUGAUCCGGUGAAGCCUCGGGAUUGUGACCAGUUUCCUUUAUUGGGAGUUGGUUGCGAGAACUUGUCUAAACCUUAUCAUCUAGAGGAAGGUGAAGUCGUAACA
This 325-nucleotide ribosomal RNA is filed under the name uncultured eukaryote. RNAcentral's name for it is "partial 18S ribosomal RNA". It matches the Rfam family "Eukaryotic small subunit ribosomal RNA", at positions 1470 to 1796 of the family's 1831-position model. The record is from RNAcentral.